GGGGAAUAUUGCACAAUGGGGGAAACCCUGAUGCAGCGACGCCGCGUGAGUGAAGAAGUAUUUCGGUAUGUAAAGCUCUAUCAGCAGGGAAGAAAAUGACGGUACCUGACUAAGAAGCCCCGGCUAACUACGUGCCAGCAGCCGCGGUAAUACGUAGGGGGCAAGCGUUAUCCGGAUUUACUGGGUGUAAAGGGAGCGUAGGUGGUUUGGUAAGUCAGAUGUGAAAGCCCGGGGCUCAACCCCGGGACUGCAUUUGAAACUAUCAAACUAGAGUGCAGGAGAGGUAAGUGGAAUUCCUAGUGUAGCGGUGAAAUGCGUAGAUAUUAGGAGGAACACCAGUGGCGAAGGCGGCUUACUGGACUGUAACUGACACUGAGGCUCGAAAGCGUGGGGAGCAAAC
RNAcentral lists this ribosomal RNA (400 nucleotides) under uncultured bacterium. RNAcentral describes it as "bacterial SSU rRNA". It matches the Rfam family "Bacterial small subunit ribosomal RNA", at positions 356 to 773 of the family's 1533-position model. The record is from RNAcentral.